GUUUUGGUAAGUACCGAGACCGCCAUUUAUUUAUUUCUCACUUGAUAGAGCUUUUUAACAAACAUUUCCUACAAUUCUCUCCAUAAAAUGCUUCUGUAACCCCAAGAUUGCGUGUGUUCUCUCUUGUGUUGGAGUAAUGGGAAAUUAUUUUACAAUCCCGUCGUCGAAGACAGCCGGAAAAGUAAUUCUAUCUGAUGGCAGAGUUCAUAAGUUUGAGAAACCCUUAACCGUGGCCGAGCUGAUGCUAGAGUACCCACAACAAGUGGUGGUGGAAUUCCGCUCUGAUUUAUCUGAAAAGAGGCCAACUCCAUUGCCAGCUGAUCAGAAGCUAGACAUGAAGAAGGUGU
RNAcentral lists this unclassified non-coding RNA (347 nucleotides) under Hevea brasiliensis (rubber tree). The record is from RNAcentral. Lineage: Eukaryota; Viridiplantae; Streptophyta; Magnoliopsida; Malpighiales; Euphorbiaceae.